Molecule: ribosomal RNA, 529 nt
Filed under: Phosinella allanae
Lineage: Eukaryota; Metazoa; Mollusca; Gastropoda; Littorinimorpha; Rissoinidae
Description: partial 16S ribosomal RNA
Rfam family: Bacterial large subunit ribosomal RNA
Source: RNAcentral
AAACAUGGUUCUUUGAAGGAAAUAAAGAAUCGGACCUGCCCGGUGGAAGAUUCUUAACGGCCGCAGUAUCUUGACUGUGCAAAGGUAGCAUAAUCAUUUGCCUUUUAAUUGGAGGCUUGUAUGAAUGGUUUGACAAGAAUAGAGCUGUCUCUCAGGGGUUAGAUAGAAAUUAGUUUCUAGGUGAGGAAACCUAGAUGUCAUAAAAAGACGAGAAGACCCUGUCGAGCUUUAGCGAAGUAAGGUUAAGACAGUAACAUCUUUUAAGAUCUUAUAAAAUUUCUUUAAAAGCUUUAGUUGGGGCAACUGAGGAAUAAAAAAAACUUCCUUAACUUUUUUAAUUUUUUAUAGAAAAUUGAGCCACUAAAGGUGAUUUUAAGAAUAAGCUACCGCAGGGAUAACAGCGUAAUUUUUUUAGAGAGUUCAAAUCGAUAAGAAAGUUUGCGACCUCGAUGUUGGAUUAAAAUAUCCUAAAGAUGCAGAUGUCUUUAACGGUUGGUCUGUUCGACCAUUAAAAUUUUACAUGAUCUGA